CAAUGGAUCGACAACAUGGGUCAGCCAAUUCUGCUUUUCAGUGAAUCACUUUAAUUCCUUAUUCUUUGAUUGUCAGCUCUAAAAACACACUGCUGGUGUUGCCUGGGUGGAAAUUUGUCUGUAAAUCCCUCCUGUAUGAGUUAAGGCUCAUGCAGAUGGUGGCAGUGCAGAUCAAACUGGCACUGAAGAGUUGUUUUCUCUUUUCUAAAGCCAAAUGAGCAUUUUAAAGAGCAAGUGGGCAGCCAUUAUGAUUUCAGUGGCUUUUACUACUGCUCUGUAAAAACUACAAAAGCCCUUCAGCUGCUUCUACCUCUUGUCUAAUUUUAAAAUAUAUUAAGUAAAACCUCCCCAGAAACUGGUGGGUGUAACUGUUGCCCUGCUUCUAAAUCCCUUAGAAACUAUAACUUUCUUUUAUGAACUGACAGAGGUUUAAGCUUUGGUUUGGAGGCUUAGUAGCACCUCGGCAAUCCUAGGAAAGGCUGGGCAAGGACAUGGCAGAGGGCAUCUACUGAAACCAGCUUGAUACUAAUUAGUAGGAAACUGUCUGUGGUAUCUCCGUUUCAUGUGGCAAAUCGAUACAGCUGGUACAAAGAAUGGAGAAACUGGACAAAAAGAGGAGCUACUGAGGACAGAUGUUCAAGAAAAUGUAGACAAGCUUUGAAAUACUUGAACAGGAAGAUUUUCCCUGUCUCCAGUGCUCUGCAGAACUUCACAGCCAAUUUGAGAAGGCAGUCCUGGGUCAGCAGGGAAGGCUAAUGACUUCCAUAAGAAAAAAAAGCUGUUUGUAGGUGUUCAUCCAGACCUGGGCUCCUCAAUAAAAGACUGAGACAAAGCUACUGGAAAUAAUCC
This 849-nucleotide long non-coding RNA is filed under the name Anas platyrhynchos platyrhynchos (common mallard). RNAcentral describes it as "lncRNA (ENSAPLG00000019303.1)". Lineage: Eukaryota; Metazoa; Chordata; Aves; Anseriformes; Anatidae. The record is from RNAcentral.